Molecule: ribosomal RNA, 433 nt
Filed under: uncultured bacterium
Lineage: Bacteria
Description: partial 16S ribosomal RNA
Rfam family: Bacterial small subunit ribosomal RNA
Source: RNAcentral
AACGAACGCUGGCGGCAUGCCUAACACAUGCAAGUCGAACGAGAACUUCGGGUCUAGUGGCGCACGGGUGCGUAACGCGUGGGAACCUGCCUUUAGGUUCGGAAUAACUCAGAGACAUUUGAGCUAAUACCGGAUGAUGUCUUCGGCCCAAAGAUUUAUCGCCCUUAGAUGGGCCGGCGUUGGAUUAGCUAGUUGGUGGGGUAAAGGCCUACCAAGGCGACGAUCCAUAGCUGGUCUGAGAGGAUGAUCAGCCACACUGGGAGUGAGACACGGCCCAGACUCCUACGGGAGGCAGCAGUGGGGAAUAUUGGACAAGGGGCGAAAGCCUGGUCCAGCAAUGCCGCGUGAGUGAUGAAGGCCUUAGGGUUGUAAAGCUCUUUUACCCGAGAUGAUAAUGACAGUAACGGGAGAAUAAGCUCCGGCCAACUCCGUG